Molecule: ribosomal RNA, 482 nt
Filed under: uncultured bacterium
Lineage: Bacteria
Description: bacterial SSU rRNA
Rfam family: Bacterial small subunit ribosomal RNA
Source: RNAcentral
CUACGUGCCAGCAGCCGCGGUAAUACGUAGGUGGCAAGCGUUGUCCGGAAUUAUUGGGCGUAAAGCGCGCGCAGGCGGAUAGGUCAGUCUGUCUUAAAAGUUCGGGGCUUAACCCCGUGAUGGGAUGGAAACUGCCAAUCUAGAGUAUCGGAGAGGAAAGUGGAAUUCCUAGUGUAGCGGUGAAAUGCGUAGAUAUUAGGAAGAACACCAGUGGCGAAGGCGACUUUCUGGACGAAAACUGACGCUGAGGCGCGAAAGCCAGGGGAGCGAACGGGAUUAGAUACCCCGGUAGUCCUGGCCGUAAACGAUGGGUACUAGGUGUAGGAGGUAUCGACCCCUUCUGUGCCGGAGUUAACGCAAUAAGUACCCCGCCUGGGGAGUACGACCGCAAGGUUGAAACUCAAAGGAAUUGACGGGGGCCCGCACAAGCGGUGGAGUAUGUGGUUUAAUUCGACGCAACGCGAAGAACCUUACCAGGUCUU